UGUUGAUGGCUGAACAUUGCAUUAUCCUAGAAAACUUGGAGGCCAGUGAGGACUAAAAUAAAAAGUUAUAAGACUUUUAAGAAUGUGGAUUUUUGGGUUUUUUUGGCGCCCCCUAGAACUAAAACCGUAGGGUGCAGCGUCAUGAUUUGUACAACUUUUAAUGGCCAUGGGGUGUAGAUUGGCCUGAGCAAAUUUGGUGCUGGUGGAAUGAAAGCCUUCAGAGGAGUUAGCCACAUUCCAAUGUCCCUUUUGGAGUUAGUUACACCAGAAAAAAAAGUAAAAUGAAAAAGAAAUAUUUGGGGUGUUCGGGCUUCCUGAAGGUAAUACAUGGGUAUUAGGUUAUGGAGCUUUGGAAAGGUUUAAGGUUUUUGGCGUUAGGGUUAAAAUCAAUGUCCAAAACCUUUGUAGGAACUCUUUUCCAACCUUAUGGAGUUAGUUAGACCAAACAAAAAAAGAAAAAUGAAAUAAAAAAUAUUUGGGGUGUUCAGGCUUCCUGAAGGUAAUACCCGGGUAUUACGUUAUGGGGCUAGGGUAAGGUUUAAGGUUUUUGGUGUUAGGAUUAAAAUCAAUGUCCAAAACCUUUUUAGGAAAAUGUUUCAGACCUUUUGGAGUUAGUUACACCAAAAAAAAAUGUAAAAUGAAAAAGAAAUAUUUGGGGUGUUCGGGCUUCCUGAAGGUAAUACAUGGGUAUUUGGUUAAGGGGUUAUGGUAAGGUUUAAGGUUUUUGGCGUUAGGGUUAUAAUCACUGUCCAAAACCUUUGUUGGAACUGUUUUCCAACCUUUUGGAGUUAGUUAGACCAAAAAAAUGAAAAAUGAAAAAAAAAAAAAUAUUUGGGGUGUUUGGGCUUCCUGAAGGUUAUACCCGGGUAUUAGGUUAUGGGGCUUAGGAAACAUUUAAGGUUUUUGGCGUUAGGGUUAUAAUCACUGUCCAAAACCUUUGUUGGAACUGUUUUCCAACCUUUUGGAGUUAGUUAGACCAAAAAAAUGAAAAAUGAAAAAAAAAAAAAUAUUUGGGGUGUUUGGGCUUCCUGAAGGUUAUACCCGGGUAUUAGGUUAUGGGGCUUAGGAAACAUUUAAGGUUUUUGGCGUUAGGGUUAAAAUCACUGUCCAAAACCUUUGUAGGAACUCUUUUGCAAUCUUUUGGAGUUAGUUAAACCAAAAAAAUGAAGAAAUGAAAAAAAAAUAUUUGGGGUGUUCGGGCUUCCUGAAGGUAAUACCUGGGUAUUAGGUUAUGGGGCUUAGGAAAGGUUUAAUGUUUUUGGCGUUAGGGUUAAAAUCACUGUCCAAAACUUUUGUAGGAACAUGUUUCAGACCUUUUGGAGUUGGUUACACUAAAAAAAAUGUAAAAUGAAAAAAAAGAUAUUUGGGGUGUUCGGGCUUCCUGAAGGUAAUACCCGGGUAUUAGGUUAUGGGGCGAUGGUAAGGUUUAAGGUCUUUGGAGUUAGGGUUAAAAUCACUGUCCAAAACCUUUGGAGGAACUCUUUUCCAAGCUUUUGUAGUUAGAACAAAAAAAAAAAGAAAAAUGAAAUAAAAAAUAUUUGGGGUGUUCGGGCUUCCUGAAGGUAAUACCCGGGUAGUAGGUUAUGGGGCUAUGGUAAGGUUUAAGGUUUUUGGCAUUCGGGUUAAAAUCACUGUCCAAAACCUUUGUAGGAACUCUUUUCCAAGCUUUCGGAGUUAGUUAGACCAAAAAAAAUGAAAAAUGAAAAAAAAAUAUUUGGGGUUUUCGGGCUUCCUGAAGGUAUUACCCGGGUAUUAGGUUAUGGGGCUUUGGAAAGGUUUAGGGUUUUUGGCAUUAGGGUUAAAAUCACUAUCCAAAACCUUUGUAGGAACUCUUUUCCAACAUUUCGGAGUUAGUUAGACCAAAAAAAAGAUGAAAAAAAAAAAUAUAUAUAUAUUUGGGGGUUCGGGCUUCCUGAAGGUAAUACCCGGGUAUUAGAUUAUGGGGCUAUGGUAAGGUUUAAGGUUUUUGGUGUUAGGGUUAAAAUCACUGUCCAAAACCUUUGUAGGAACUCUUUUCCAAGCUUUCAGAGUUAGUUAGACCAAAAAAAAAUGAAAAAUGAAAUAAAAAUAUUUGUGGUUUUCGGGCUUCCUGAAGAUAAUACCCGGGUAUUAGGUUAUGGGGCUUAGGAAAGGUUUAAGGUUUUUGGCGUAAGGGUUAAAAUCACUGUCCAAAACCUUUGUAGGAACUCUUUUCCAACCUUUUUGAGUCAGUUAGACCAAAAAAAAUGAAAAAUGAAAAAAAAAUAUUUGGGGUUUUCGGGCUUCCUGAAGGUAUUACCCGGGUAUUAGGUUAUGGGGCUUUGGAAAGGUUUAGGGUUUUUGGCAUUAGGGUUAAAAUCACUAUCCAAAACCUUUGUAGGAACUCUUUUCCAAGCUUUCGGAGUUAGUUAGACCAAAAAAAAUGAAAAAUGAAAAAAAAAUAUUUGGGGUUUUCGGGCUUCCUGAAGGUAUUACCCGGGUAUUAGGUUUUGGGGCUAGGGUAAGGUUUGAGGUUUUUGGCAUUAGGGUUAAAAUCACUGUCCAAAACCUUUUUAGGAACAUGUUUCAGACCUUUUGGAGUUUGUACACCAAAAAAAAAAUGUAAAAUGAAAAAAAAUAUAUUUGGGGUGUUCGGGCUUCCUGAAGGUAAUACCCGGGUAUUAGGUUAUGGGGCUAUGGUAAGGUUUAAGGUUUUUGGCAUUCGGGUUAAAAUCACUGUCCAAAACCUUUGUAGGAACUCUUUUCCAAGCUUUCGGAGUUAGUUAGACCAAAAAAAAUGAAAAAUGAAAAAAAAAUAUUUGGGGUUUUCGGGCUUCCUGAAGGUAUUACCCGGGUAUUAGGUUAUGGGGCUUUGGAAAGGUUUAGGGUUUUUGGCAUUAGGGUUAAAAUCACUAUCCAAAACCUUUGUAGGAACUCUUUUCCAACAUUUCGGAGUUAGACCAAAAAAAAGAUGAAAAAAAAAAAUAUAUAUAUAUUUGGGGGGUUCGGGCUUCCUUAAGGUAAUACCCGGGUAUUAGAUUAUGGGGCUAUGGUAAGGUUUAAGGUUUUUGGUGUUAGGGUUAAACUCACUGUCCAAAACCUUUGUAGGAACUCUUUUCCAAGCUUUCAGAGUUAGUUAGACCAAAAAAAAAUGAAAAAUGAAAUAAAAAUAUUUGUGGUUUUCGGGCUUCCUGAAGAUAAUACCCGGGUAUUAGGUUAUGGGGCUUAGGAAAGGUUUAAGGUUUUUGGCGUAAGGGUUAAAAUCACUGUCCAAAACCUUUGUAGGAACUCUUUUCCAACCUUUUUGAGUCAGUUAGACCAAAAAAAAAAGAAAAAAGAAAAAAAUAUAUUUGGGGUUUUCAGGCUUCCUGGAGGUAAUACCCGGGUAUUAGGUUUUGGGGCUAGGGUAAGGUUUGAGGUUUUUGGCAUUAGGGUUAAAAUCACUGUCCAAAACCUUUUUAGGAACAUGUUUCAGACCUUUUGGAGUUUGUACACCAAAAAAAAAAUGUAAAAUGAAAAAAAAUAUAUUUGGGGUGUUCGGGCUUCCUGAAGGUAAUACCCGGGUAUCAGGUUACUGGGCUAUGGUAAGGUUUAAGGUUUUUGGCGUUAAGGUUAAAAUUACUGUCCAAAACCUUUGUAGGAACUCUUUUCCAACCUUUUGGAGUUAGUUAGAACAAAAAAAGGAUGAAAAAUAAAAAAAAAUGUAUUUGGGGUGUUAGGGCUUCCUGAAGGUCAUCCCCGGGUAUUAGGUUUUGGGGCUAGGGUAAGGUUUAAGGUUUUUGGCGUAAGGGUUAAAAUCACUGUCCAAAACCUUUGUAGGAACUCUUUUCCAACCUUUUGGAGUUAGACCAAAAAAGAAUUAAAAAUGAAAAGAAAAUAUUUGGGGUUUUCGGGCUUCCUGAAGGUAAUACCCAGGUAUUAGGUUAUGGGGCUAGGGUUAGGUUUUAGGUUUUUGGCGUUAGGGUUAAUAUCAAUGUCCAAAACCUUUGUAGGAACUCUUUUCCAAGCUUUUGGAGGUAGUUAGACGAAAAAAAAAGAAAAAUUAGAAAAAAAUAUUUGUGGUUUUCGGGCUUCCUGAAGGUAAUACCCGGUUAUUAGGUAAUGGGGCUUUGGAAAGGUUUAGGGUUUUUGGCAUUAGGGUUAAAAUCACUAUCCAAAACCUUUGUAGGAACUCUUUUCCAACAUUUCGGAGUUAGUUAGACCAAAAAAAAUGAAAAAUGAAAUAAAAAAUAUUUGGGGUGUUCAGGCUUCCUGAAGGUAAUACCUUCAGUAUUAGGUUAUGGGGCUUAGGAAAGGUUUAAGGUUUUUGGCGUUAGGGUUAAAAUCACUGUCCAAAACCUUUGUAGGAACUGUUUUCCAACCUUUUUGAGUUAGUUAGACCAAAAAAAAAAGAAAAAUGAAAAAAAAAAUAUUUGGAUUGCAAAAAUAUAUCAAGGUCCAAAGAUGGUGUGCGCACUUGUCUGUGGUCAUUUACCAUUAUAAUGAAUGGGAGGCGCAGUUUCUACCAAAACACUUGCUGCAGACAAACUUCAUGACCUAUAUGAAAAAAGUCUGGACCAUGAGUGAGGGCACAAACACAGCUAGUAUAUAUCCAAAUGGCAAGUUGCUCCUCCUUUCGGUUUUGCAGAGAGAGCGGUGUGUUUGAGCCAUUGAGCGAUGGGCAGGAAAAACUUGACUUUUUCUCCUGCCUUGGGGGGGUGCUCUUUUGGUGAGAAAAAAAUGACUUCACAAAUGUGUUGAUGGCUGAACAUUGCAUCAUCCUAGAAAACUUGGAUGAGUGGCCAAAACUUCUUUGUCUGCUGUAAAAUCAAAUUGGAUUAAUAUUUUUUCCAGAUUUUUUUUUGUACAUCUCUUAUUUUACUUCUGCCCUGUUCAAAACUAGCAAAUGUUUCAUUGAAGAUAUUUUUUUUAACCAUUUAAGAGCCUUUUAACUUUUUCUGUAGUAUCAGAUUUAAUAGACAACUCCUUUGGCGCCACUCAGUGGCCAUAACUACUUUGUCUGCUGUUAAUAGACAACUCCCUUUGGCGCCACUCAGUGGCCAAAACAAUUUGUAAUCAUGUGGAUUUUUGGGUUAUCUUUGGCGCCCCCUAGAACGUAAACCGUGGGGUGCAGCGUCAUGAUUUUGAACUUUGAAUGGCCAUGGGUUGUAGAUUGGCCUGAGCAAAUUUGGUGUCGGUGGGACGAAAGCCUUAGGAGUUAGCAACAUUCCAAUGUGUGCGAAUCGGCAAAAAAUGCGAAAUAGCCCUUUAACCGUACAUUUCACAGAUACGUGUGCAUUGACUUUUUCGUAGAUCUUAUUGAGAUACACGUGUGUGUCAAAUUUUGUGUCAAUAUGACAAAGUGUAUAGGCGUGACACUCAACAAAGUGUAUUUUCACCUUAGGGGACAAGAAAAAAUGGACUUUUUUCUCCUGCCAUGGGGGGCGCUCUUUUGGGGAGUAAAAAUUCCUUCUCAAAUGUGUUGAUGGCUGGACAUGGCAUUAUCCUAGAAAACUUGGAGGCCAGUGAGGACUAAAAUAAAAAGUUAUAAGACUUUUAAGAAUGUGGAUUUUGGGGUUUUUUUUGGCGCCCCCUAGAACUUAAACCGUAGGGUGCAGCGUCAUGAUUUGUACAACUUUUAAUGGCCAUGGGGUGUAGAUUGGCCUGAGCAAAUUUGGUGCCGUUGGAACGAAAGCCUUCAGAGGAGUUAGCCACAUUCCAAUGUGUGCGGACCGGCAAAAAAUGCGAAAUAGCCCUUUAACCGUACUUUUCACAAAAGCACCUGCACUGACUUUUUCGUAGACCUUAUUAAGAUACACGUGUGUGUCAAUUUUUGUAUCAAUAUGACAAAGCGUACAGACGUGGUUUUUGGCGUUAGGGUUAAAAUCACUGUCCAAAACCUUUGUAGGAACUCUUUUCCAACCUUUUGGAGUUAGCUAGACCAAAAAAAAAAACGAAAAAUGAAAAAAAAAAUGUUUGGGGUUUGAAGGCUUCCUGAAGGUAAUACCCGGGUAUUAGGUUACGGGGCUAUGGUAAGGUUUAAGGUUUUUGGCGUUAGGGUUAAAAUCACUGUCCAAAACCUUUGUAGGAUCUGCUUUUUCAACCUUUUUGAGUUAGUUAGACAAAAAAAAAAAAAACGAAAAAUGAAAUGAAAAUUUUUGGGUGUGGGUCCAUGUUAAUUUUGUUGACGAAAAAUUUUCGUCAUUGUCAUCGUCAACGACCUUUUUUUUCUGACUAAAACGAGACGAUAACUUGAUAAAAAGUAAUUCACAAGGCCUAAGACGAUAACGAAGUGUAUUGACAUGUUUGUCAACGAAUAAAAACGAGACGAAAAUGUCUGGCAAGGAUCCAAUCAGAGCUCAUUUUGUUUGUGGAAGGAAAUGACGAUUUUAGAAAGAGGCGGGAGGAGUUGGGAGGGAGAACCAAUCAGAGCGACGUGGUUAGGAUGUUUGAGACCGAGCCCGGCAAAGGCGAAAUGUCCCCGCGCUCCUCGUCGUGCUCAGCUGAAAAUGUCAACAACAGCAGGGAGGAAGAGGCGUCAGGAUGUGUGGACGCACUUUACUUUUGAUUUAAAGGACAACAAAACACUUUGCAAAAACUGUGGAGCAAAAAUAACCGGGAAAAACACAACGAAUCUGAAGAGGCACCUGGAGUCGAGCCACCAUGAUAUAUACGCUCAGGUAAGCAUGAAUGAAUGAAUGGAUGAAACCUGCUCCAUAACGUUAACGUAACGUUACAUUUUAACAUAACACACAAGGCUCUGAACAUACGUGAACUCACUCACUAGCCUGGUUAUUUUUUUGCUCUUUUGUUAAACCCACACCGCCAUGUGCAUUUUCUUUCAACGGGGGCUCUCUGAUAAAUCAAUCUCGUUAAUUAUCAUUUAACGUUACGGUGCGGGUCGUCGGGGGCGAUACCAAUACACCACUGCUGUUCUGUUAAGCUAAAGGUACCUGCUGGCUGCUGAUUUAAAUGCAUAUAAUUCAUUUAACUAUUUUGUUGGUGUUAAAAAUGAACUCUACCGUCCUUUUUUCUUCAUCACAGCUACAGAAGACUUCAGGUGACCUCGAUGGGCCACAGGGUGCCAAGAAAAAGAAAGGAACAGUUUUGGCUGCCUUUUUGAAUGUUUUGAAACAUAAAUAAAAUGAAUUACAAGUGGAAUCUGUCUGUGUGUGAAUUGAACAGUUGUUCUUUAACACAGGUUUAUUGUUGUAAAGGUAAUGACUUUCAGAAAAUGUACAUAUUAUUACCCUUUACACACUUUUUAGUUGACUAAAUCUAUUGUAAUUUUCAUCGACUAAAACUCUUGUGAUAUUAGUCGACUAAAACUAGACUAAACUAAAAAGAUUUCAGAUGACUAAAAUAUGACUAAAACUAAGUAGUGUUUUAGUCAAAAGACUAAGACUAAAACUAAAUCAGAAUUUGUUGUCAAAAUUAACACUGGUGUGGGUAAGAGAUAGAGUGAUAGCCCCCACAUUCGUCAGUUGCCUUGGCGGUUUGGGGUAGGCUGAUCAAGGGCUUGCACUGGCCGGCACAUGUCGACCUGUCACAUGUUCCCAGUCGAUUCUCCGAGCUCAAUCUGUGUGUAAAAAUUAUGUGUUGGUAGGAAGUUUAAUGACUCAGCUCAAUUGGUAUGCUAUGCUGUCUAUCUUUUAGACUAUGUGUUUGUAGAGCAAUUAUUUUUGGAGGUUCAGUUAGGGAGUAGAGUUGGUAUGGUUAAGUGUUAAAAUAAUAAUAAUAAUAAUAAUAAUAAUAAUAAUAAUAAUAAUAAUAAUAUUAUUAUUAUUAUUAAUAAUAAUUUUUCUUAUUGAGAAGGACUAGGUGGUGUUCGUAGGGAGGGAAUAGGGUGAAUUUUAUCUAUAGGAGUAGGGUUAUGGUGCAUUAGUGCAAAGUCUCAGAGGUGCCACAAACUUCAAACACGACACAAACUCAAGUUCAAAAACACCACAGACUCAAGUUCAAAAACGACACAAACUGAAGUUCAACAAACAAAACUAACUAUUAAGAGUAAUUUUGAGGUGUUUUUCGUAGACUUACCCUAGUGGUCCUAUGUUGUUGUUGAUGUGAGGCGUUUCUUUUCCAGUAGUCUAAAAUCUGUUGGAGGGGGGAAAAGGUUCCAGCUGUCCAGCCGCGGCGGCAGCGGUGUGUCUGAAGUCCGGGGUCCUCGGCGGGGGAAAGAAGAUAGGCGCUCCGCGGGAAGGUUUGCUGGGACUCGGUGCCGUCGGCGGGGCGAAGCUCGGUGGUGGGCGGCUUGGAGUGAUGGAGGUGCGGCGUCUUCCUCGAGGCGGUGGUCCGUCUUCUUGGUCCAGUGGUCAGUGCUCAUUUACAGGAACAGGAAUUGCUGUUUAGUGCACAGCACUUAAUUGUGCUUUUGACAGGAGAAGACAUCCUCAGAGUUGGGCUCCAGUCAUGGUUUGUGCUGUUCCUCUCAGACAUGGUUGUGUUCUCUUCUCGAUGUUUGUAUUCCAGAAUGGAUGUCUCUUGGUUGUAUUUUAAACUUUCAAGUUGUUUUAAGUUAAUUUUAAUGUAGUUUUGUUUUAAAUUGAGUUUUGCUACAUUAAAUUUGUAUGCAAUGGUAAGGGAUUGUGGGUAUUUUAGUUCUCAGGGAUGAGAGCCUAAGGAAUCAAUCUUCCUGUUACAGCAAAGGAUUGUGGGUAAAACCGUGAGUGAGGGAGGUACAUUUUUCCUGGCAUGAGAACCUCAGGAGUCAGUCCUUCCUAAGAAAAAAGAGGGGAGGGGGAAGAAAAACAAAAGCACAGGAACCCUAAAAUAAAAUAAAAUAAAAUAAUAUAAAACAAUGAAAAAAUAAAAAAAUAAAAGAAGAACAAAAGUGGAUUGCAAAAGGGAAAGGGGAAGAAAAAAGGAAAAAAAGAAGUGUCAAGAGCAAAUAGCAAAAAUCAGAAGUGAGCUUAAAAACAGAGAACAGUUCCCUAAAAGACAGACAGAAAUGUAAAUUUGAUCAAUGUCCUAAGGGAAAAUCUGUACGUGUAUGUGUGUUCUUUUUUGCAAGCUUAGUCUGGUGUCACUGAUGGUCAGUUAUUAAUAAGUAUUUAUUAUUUAAAUUUUUGAUGAAGUUGUUUGUAGUGGGGUUAGCUGGCUAAUUUUAGAGUGUUAAAAAAGAUGUUAGAGGGGGAGGAUUUAGGGGGCACGGCGGUUCCCCUUCAGGUCUCUCUUAAUCCUCCAUAUAGGUGACCCAACAGGGGUUACCCCCCGGCCUGGGUAGGCCUAGGCUGAAGAUCACCUAUUUGUCCUCUGUGAAGGUGAAAAUAAAGGGGCAGGGGAGGGAAUAAGAAAGAGGGGGUGUGUUAGAGAGAGGGGGAGAGAUGAGGGAGAGAGAUGAGGGAGAGAGAGAGAGGGGUGUGUGUGUGUGUGUGUGAGAGAGAGAGAGAGAGAGAGAGAGAGAGAAGGGAAGAGGGAGAGGGGGGUUUAAGGGAGAGGUGGAGAUGGUGGAAAAUAAAGAUUGGUGAGGGGGAUUUGGUGGCGGAUGAAACAUCCCAUAGCUCCCCUGCUCUCACCAUCCAUGUGAGGAGAGUGAGCAAGGGACAUAGUCCCCCGACCCGACUAGGUCUAGGCUCUGCUCUCCUCACGGUCCUCACAAGAUACAAAGAGAUAUGUAAACGUGGAAGUGAGAGUUCUCUAGGCAGAGUUUUGGGUUUGGUUUGAGCUGAGUUGGUCAGUUGAUUAUUGAUUACUAUUUUAAGUUCUAAAAGUGGAUAGAGUCAAAAAGUCACAGAGGAUUGUGGUGGGAGCAGGUGGUCCGUCUGGCACCAUUCUGCUCAUGCAGGGAUUCGAGUGAUAGAAAGAGAAUAGAUCUUGCCACCGUGACUCGCCAUUGAGACUCUCCUCACCUGCUGGUUUUCAUCCUCUGAUAGGAGAGAGAGGUACAGAUCAGGAGAGAGGGAGAAAAGGAGGGAGGCAGGGUGGGGUCAGUAGUUAAUUUGUCUUGAAAAGUAUUUAUCUUUUCGUCAUUGCUGUUAGGGUUUAGAUGUUUUUUGUUUAGUUAUCUGAGGAAUGUAGUGUUAGUAUAGGUUCCAAGGUGGAGAAUUCUUUGGAAUUCACUUUCACCCUUGAAACUGGAAGAUCUUAGAUUCUAUAAAGGGUGGGGGGGUUGUGUGCACAGAAGGAGCAUGGGCUCAGACUAUUCUCUGAAUGAUAUUGUGACAAGUCUGUCCGAACGCAAGUGGCUGGUUAGGUGUGGGAAAGAGAUAGAGUGAUAGCCCCCGCUUUUGUCAGUUGACUUGGCGGUUUGGGGUAGGCUGAUCAAGGGCUUGCACUGGCCGGCGCAUGUCGACCUGUCACAUGUUCCAGUCGAGUCUCCGAGCUCAAUCUGUGUGUAAAAAUUAUGUGUUGGUAGAAAGUUUAAUGACUCAGCUCAGUUGGUAUGCUAUGCUGUCUAUCUUUUAGACUAUGUGUUUGUAGAGCAAUAUUAUGUAUAUAUUAUGUUACAGGGCUAGGAAAAGGUUAAAGGUUUUUGGUGUUAGGGUUAAAAUCACUGUCCAAAACCUUUGUAGGAACUCUUUUCCAACCUUUUGGAGGGAGCUAGACUAAAAAAAAAAAAAAUAAUAAUAAUGAAAAAAAAGUUUUUGGGGGUGUUAAGACUUCCUGAAGGUAAUACCCAGGUAUUAGGUUACGGGGCUAGGGUAAGGUUUAAGGUUUUUGGCGUAUGGGUUAAAAUCACUGUCCAAAACCUUUGUAGGAACUCUUUUCCAACCUUUUGGAGUUCGUUAGACCAAAAAAAGAAAAAGAAAAAAAUAUGUUUGGGGUGUUAAGGCUUCCUAAAGGUAAUACCCUGGUAUUAUGGUUAUGUGGCUAUGGUAAGGUUUAAGGUUUUUGGCGAAAGGGUUAAAAUCACUGUCCAAAACCUUUGUAGGAACUCUUUUCCAACCUUUUGGAGUUAUUUACACCAAAAAACAAUGAAAAAUGAAAAAAAAAUAUUUGGGGUUUUCGGGCUUCCUGAAGGUAAUACCCGGGUUAUUAGGUUAUGGGGCGAGGGUAAGGUUUAAGGUUUUUGGCGUUAAGGUUAAAAUCACUGUCCAAAACCUUUUUAGGAACAUGUUUCAGACCUUUUGGAGUUGGUUACACAAAAAAAAAUGUAAAAUGAAAAAAAUAUUUGGGGUGUUCAGGCUUCCUGAAGGUAAUAACCGUACUACUCGGGUAUUAGGUUAUGGGGCUAGGGUAAGGUUUAAGGUUUAUGGCGUGAGGGUUAAAAUCACUGUCCAAUAUUUUUUAAGGAACAUGUUUCAGACCUUUUGGAGUUAGUUAAACCAAUAAAAUGAAUAAAAAAAUAUUUGGGGUUUUCGGGCUUCCUGAAGGUAAUACCCGGGUAUUAGGUUAUGGGGCUAGGGGAAGGUUUAAGGUUUUUGGCGUUAGGGUUAAAAUCACUGUCCAAAACCUUUUUAGGAACAUGUUUCAGAACUUUUGGAGUUUGUUACACCAAAAAAAAAAUGUAAAAUGAAAAAAAAAUAUAUUUGGGGUGUUCGGGCUUCCUGAAGGAAAUACCCAGGUAUUAGGUUAUGGGGCUAUGGUAAGGUCUAAGGUUUUUGGCAUUAGGGUUAAAAUCACUGUCCAAAACCUUUGUUGGAAUAAGUUUCAGACCUUUUGGAGUUAGGUAGACCAAAAAGAAAUGAAAAGUGAAAAAAAAAUAUUUGGGGUGUUCGGGCUUCCUGAAGGUAAUACCCAGGUAUUAGGUUAUGGGGCGAGGGGAAAUUUUAAGGCUUUUGGCGUUAGGGUUAAAAUCACUGUCCAAAACCUUUGUAGGAACUCUUUUCCAAGCUUUUGGAGUUAGUUAGACCAAAAAAAUGAAUAAAAAAAUAUUUGGGGUUUUCGGGCUUCCUGAAGGUAAUACCCAGGUAUUAGGUUAUGGGGCUAGGGGAAGGUUUAAGGCUUUUGGCGUUAGGGUUAAAAUCACUGUCCAAAACCUUUGUAGGAACUCUUUUCCAACCUUUUGGAGUUAGUUAGACCAAAAAAAAAAGAAAAAUGAAAAAAAUAUAUUUGGGGUGUUCGGGCUUCCUGAAGGUAAUACCCAGGUAUUAGGUUAUGGGGCUAGGGUAAGGUUUUAGGUUUAUGGCGUUAGGGUUAAAAUCACUGUCCAAAACCUUUUUAGGAACAUGUUUCAGACCAUUUGCAGUUGGUUAAACCAAAAAAAAAAAAGUAAAAUGAAAAAAAAAAUAUUUGGGGUGUUCGGGCUUCCUGAAGGACCUAUUAGGUUAUGGGGCUAAGGUAAGGUUUAAGGUUUUUGGCGUUAGGGUUAAAAUCACUGUCCAAAACCUUUGUAGGAACUCUUUUCCAACCUUUUGGAGUUAGUUAGACCAAAAAAAAAAAAAAUGAAAAAAAAAUAUUUGGGGUGUUCGGGCUUCCUGAAGGUAAUACCCCGGUAUUAGGUUAUGGGGCUAUGGUAAGGUUUAAGGUUUUUGGCGUUAGGGUUAAAAUCACUGUCCAAAACCUUUUUAGGAACAUGUUUCAGAACUUUUGGAGUUUGUUACACCAAAAAAAAAAGUAAAAUGAAAAAAAAUAUAUUUGGGGUGUUCGGGCUUCCUGAAGGUAAUACCCAGGUAUUAGGUUAUGGGGCUAGGGUAAGGUUUUAGGUUUUUGGC
Non-coding RNA from Xyrichtys novacula (pearly razorfish), 12530 nucleotides. Lineage: Eukaryota; Metazoa; Chordata; Actinopteri; Labriformes; Labridae. The record is from the annotation of a GenBank genome assembly.